This 157-nucleotide ribosomal RNA is filed under the name Psilotum nudum. RNAcentral describes it as "5.8S ribosomal RNA". It matches the Rfam family "5.8S ribosomal RNA". Rfam says of the family: 5.8S ribosomal RNA (5.8S rRNA) is a component of the large subunit of the eukaryotic ribosome. It is transcribed by RNA polymerase I as part of the 45S precursor that also contains 18S and 28S rRNA. The record is from RNAcentral. Lineage: Eukaryota; Viridiplantae; Streptophyta; Polypodiopsida; Psilotales; Psilotaceae.
ACGACUCACAGCAACAGAUAUCUUGGCUCUUGCAAUGAUGAAGAACACAUCGAAAUGGGAUAUGUAGUGUGAAUUGCAGAAUUCCGCGAAUCAUCGAGUCUUUGAUUUCAAGUUGCGCAUACGGCUCGUCUAAGGGCAUGCCUUCCUGAGCGUCCCC